UGGAUCCAGACUUUGAUCAUGGCUCAGGACGAACGCUGGCGGCGUGCUUAACACAUGCAAGUCGAACGAAGCUUGAUUUAUGAUUUCUUCGGAAUGAAUAAUGAUAUGACUGAGUGGCGGACGGGUGAGUAACGCGUGAGCAACCUGCCCUUCGGAGGGGGAUAGCGUCUGGAAAUGGACGGUAAUACCGCAUAAAGUGUCUUGACCGCAUGAUCGAGAUACCAAAACUGAGGUGCCGAAGGAUGGGCUCGCGUUGGAUUAGAUAGUUGGUGGGAUAACGGCCUACCAAGUCGACGAUCCAUAGCCGGACUGAGAGGUUGAACGGCCACAUUGGGACUGAGACACGGCCCAGACUCCUACGGGUGGCAGCAGUGGGGAAUAUUGCACAAUGGGGGAAACCCUGAUGCAGCAACGCCGCGUGAAGGAAGACGGUUUUCGGAUUGUAAACUUCUGUUCUUAGUGAAGAAUAAUGACGGUAGCUAAGGAGCAAGCCACGGCUAACUACGUGCCAGCAGCCGCGGUAAUACGUAGGUGGCAAGCGUUGUCCGGAAUUACUGGGUGUAAAGGGAGCGCAGGCGGGAAGCCAAGUCAGCUGUGAAAACUACAGGCUUAACUUGUAGACUGCAGUUGAAACUGGUUUUCUUGAGUGAAGUAGAGCUUGGCGGAAUUCCGAGUGUAGCGGUGAAAUGCGUAGAUAUUCGGAGGAACACCGGUGGCGAAGGCGGCCAACUGGGCUUUAACUGACGCUGAGGCUCGAAAGUGUGGGGAGCAAACAGGAUUAGAUACCCUGGUAGUCCACACUGUAAACGAUGAUUGCUAGGUGUGGGGGGUCUGACCCCUUCCGUGCCGCAGCUAACGCAAUAAGCAAUCCACCUGGGGAGUACGACCGCAAGGUUGCAACUCAAAUGAAUUGACGGA
RNAcentral lists this ribosomal RNA (918 nucleotides) under uncultured Bacillota bacterium. RNAcentral's name for it is "bacterial SSU rRNA". It matches the Rfam family "Bacterial small subunit ribosomal RNA", at positions 1 to 917 of the family's 1533-position model. Lineage: Bacteria; Bacillati; Bacillota. The record is from RNAcentral.